Molecule: non-coding RNA, 81 nt
Organism: Acanthosepion pharaonis
Lineage: Eukaryota; Metazoa; Mollusca; Cephalopoda; Sepiida; Sepiidae
Source: the annotation of a GenBank genome assembly
ACCAGAUCACCGAAGUUAAGCAACGUCGAACCUGGCCAGUACCUGGAUGUGUGACCGCUUGGGAAUACUAAGUGCUGUAUG